ACGCUCGACACCUACGGGAGUCAGCAGCAGGGAAUCUUCCACAAUGGACGCAAGUCUGAUGGAGCAACGCCGCGUGAGUGAAGAAGGUCUUCGGAUCGUAAAACUCUGUUGUUAGAGAAGAACACGAGUGAGAGUAACUGUUCAUUCGAUGACGGUAUCUAACCAGCAAGUCACGGCUAACUACGUGCCAGCAGCCGCGGUAAUCUGAGCGGGCUGGCAAGGC
Molecule: ribosomal RNA, 223 nt
Filed under: uncultured bacterium
Lineage: Bacteria
Description: partial 16S ribosomal RNA
Rfam family: Bacterial small subunit ribosomal RNA
Source: RNAcentral